This 74-nucleotide transfer RNA is filed under the name Alphaproteobacteria bacterium. RNAcentral's name for it is "tRNA-His". It matches the Rfam family "tRNA". From Rfam's summary of the family: Transfer RNA (tRNA) molecules are approximately 80 nucleotides in length. The record is from RNAcentral. Lineage: Bacteria; Pseudomonadati; Pseudomonadota; Alphaproteobacteria.
UGGAGUUUAGUGUUAGCGGAUAGCACGCUGGGUUGUGACCCCGGAAGGAGAGUUCGAAUCUCUGNCUCCAACCA